GGCGGACGGGUGAGUAAUGCAUAGGAAUCUGCCCAGUAGCGGGGGACAACUUGGGGAAACUCAAGCUAAUACCGCAUACGCCCUACGGGGGAAAGCGGGGGACCUUCGGGCCUCGCACUAUUGGAUGAGCCUAUGUCAGAUUAGCUUGUUGGUAGGGUAAAGGCCUACCAAGGCGACGAUCUGUAGCUGGUCUGAGAGGACGAUCAGCCACACUGGGACUGAGACACGGCCCAGACUCCUACGGGAGGCAGCAGUGGGGAAUAUUGCACAAUGGGCGAAAGCCUGAUGCAGCAAUGCCGCGUGUGUGAAGAAGGCCUGCGGGUUGUAAAGCACUUUCAGUUGGGAGGAAAAGCAAUGGGCCAAUACCCCGUUGUCUUGACGUUACCUACAGAAGAAGCACCGGCUAACUCUGUGCCAGCAGCCGCGGUAAUACAGAGGGUGCAAGCGUUAAUCGGAAUUACUGGGCGUAAAGCGCGCGUAGGCGGUUUGGUCAGUCGGAUGUGAAAGCCCCGGGCUUAACCUGGGAAUUGCAUUCGAUACUGCCAAACUA
Molecule: ribosomal RNA, 550 nt
Filed under: uncultured Ectothiorhodospiraceae bacterium
Lineage: Bacteria; Pseudomonadati; Pseudomonadota; Gammaproteobacteria; Chromatiales; Ectothiorhodospiraceae
Description: bacterial SSU rRNA
Rfam family: Bacterial small subunit ribosomal RNA
Source: RNAcentral